Molecule: ribosomal RNA, 363 nt
Filed under: uncultured Acetobacter sp.
Lineage: Bacteria; Pseudomonadati; Pseudomonadota; Alphaproteobacteria; Acetobacterales; Acetobacteraceae
Description: bacterial SSU rRNA
Rfam family: Bacterial small subunit ribosomal RNA
Source: RNAcentral
UGGGGAAUAUUGGACAAUGGGGGCAACCCUGAUCCAGCAAUGCCGCGUGUGUGAAGAAGGUCUUCGGAUUGUAAAGCACUUUCGACGGGGACGAUGAUGACGGUACCCGUAGAAGAAGCCCCGGCUAACUUCGUGCCAGCAGCCGCGGUAAUACGAAGGGGGCUAGCGUUGCUCGGAAUGACUGGGCGUAAAGGGCGUGUAGGCGGUUUGUACAGUCAGAUGUGAAAUCCCCGGGCUUAACCUGGGAGCUGCAUUUGAUACGUGCAGACUAGAGUGUGAGAGAGGGUUGUGGAAUUCCCAGUGUAGAGGUGAAAUUCGUAGAUAUUGGGAAGAACACCGGUGGCGAAGGCGGCAACCUGGCUC